ACAGGAAAUUGACCUAUAAACUGACAGAUAAUACGGCUCCAUUUGUCUGUCAUUUCUGUAGGCCAAUAUUCUGC
RNAcentral lists this microRNA precursor (74 nucleotides) under Otolemur garnettii (small-eared galago). RNAcentral describes it as "mir-192/215 microRNA precursor family". It matches the Rfam family "mir-192/215 microRNA precursor family". From Rfam's summary of the family: This family represents the human microRNA (miRNA) precursors mir-192 and mir-215. The record is from Rfam by way of RNAcentral. Lineage: Eukaryota; Metazoa; Chordata; Mammalia; Primates; Galagidae.